UGGGGAAUAUUGCACAAUGGGCGCAAGCCUGAUGCAGCGACGCCGCGUGAGGGAUGGAGGCCUUCGGGUUGUAAACCUCUUUCGCCAGUGAAGCAGGCCAUCUUCUUUGUGGGGUGGUUGACGGUAGCUGGAUAAGAAGCGCCGGCUAACUACGUGCCAGCAGCCGCGGUAAUACGUAGGGCGCGAGCGGUGUCCGGAAUUAUUGGGCGUAAAGAGCUCGUAGGCGGCUGGUCGCGUCUGUCGUGAAAUCCCCUGGCUUAACUGGGGGCUUGCGGUGGGUACGGGCCGGCUUGAAUGCGGUAGGGGAGACUGGAAUUCCUGGUGUAGCGGUGGAAUGCGCAGAUAUCAGGAGGAACACCGGUGGCGAAGGCGGGUCUCUGGGCCGUUACUGACGCUGAGGAGCGAAAGCGUGGGGAGCGAACAGG
Molecule: ribosomal RNA, 425 nt
Filed under: bacterium
Lineage: Bacteria
Description: partial 16S ribosomal RNA
Rfam family: Bacterial small subunit ribosomal RNA
Source: RNAcentral